This 69-nucleotide transfer RNA is filed under the name Centrobranchus choerocephalus. Its description in RNAcentral is "tRNA-Glu". It matches the Rfam family "tRNA". Rfam says of the family: Transfer RNA (tRNA) molecules are approximately 80 nucleotides in length. Their secondary structure includes four short double-helical elements and three loops (D, anti-codon, and T loops). Lineage: Eukaryota; Metazoa; Chordata; Actinopteri; Myctophiformes; Myctophidae. The record is from RNAcentral.
GUUUUUGUAGUUGAAUAACAACGUUGGUUUUUCAAGCCAAUAGUCCAGGUUAAAGUCCAGGCAAGAAUU